RNAcentral lists this ribosomal RNA (861 nucleotides) under uncultured beta proteobacterium. RNAcentral's name for it is "bacterial SSU rRNA". It matches the Rfam family "Bacterial small subunit ribosomal RNA", at positions 70 to 904 of the family's 1533-position model. Lineage: Bacteria; Pseudomonadati; Pseudomonadota; Betaproteobacteria. The record is from RNAcentral.
UGCACGGGAGCAACCCUGGUGGUAAGUGGCAGAACGGGUGAGUAUAUAUCGGAACGUGCCCAGAUCGCGGGGGAUAACGCAGCGAAAGCUGUGCUAAUACCGCACUACGAUCUACGGAUGAAAGCGGGGGAUCGCAAGACCUCGCGCGAUUGGAGCGGCCGAUAUCAGAUUAGCUAGUUGGUGGGGUAAAGGCCCACCAAAGGCGACGAUCUGUAGCUGGUCUGAGAGGACGACCAGCCACACUGGAACUGAGACACGGUCCAAACUCCUACGGGAGGCAGCAGUGGGGAAUUUUGGACAAUGGGCGCAAGCCUGAUCCAGCAAUGCCGCGUGCAGGAUGAAGGCCUUCGGGUUGUAAACUGCUUUUGUACGGAACGAAACGGUGAGCUCUAAUAAAGUUUGCUAAUGACGGUACCGUAAGAAUAAGCACCGGCUAACUACGUGCCAGCAGCCGCGGUAAUACGUAGGGUGCGAGCGUUAAUCGGAAUUACUGGGCGUAAAGCGUGCGCAGGCGGUUAUGUAAGACAGAUGUGAAAUCCCCGGGCUCAACCUGGGACCUGCAUUUGUGACUGCAUAGCUAAGAGUACGGUAGAGGGGGAUGGAAAUUCCCGCCGUGUAGCAGUGAAAUGCGGUAGAUAUGCCGGAGGAAACACGAUGGCGAAGGCAAUCCCCUGGACCUGUACUGACGGCUCCAUGCACGAAAGCGUUGGGGGCAGCCAAACCAGGGAUUCACAUACCCUGGCACUGUCCACAGCCCUAAACGAAUGUCAACUGGUUGGCUGGGCCUUCACGGACUCAGGAUACAGCAAACCAAGCGUAAAUUACCGCCUGCGAAGUAAGGCGAAGGUGAACUCAACGCAU